RNAcentral lists this unclassified non-coding RNA (335 nucleotides) under soil metagenome. RNAcentral describes it as "partial contains 5.8S ribosomal RNA, internal transcribed spacer 2, and large subunit ribosomal RNA". The stretch from base 1 to 120 matches the Rfam family "5.8S ribosomal RNA", at positions 35 to 154 of the family's 154-position model. The record is from RNAcentral.
GAUGAAGAACGCAGCGAAAUGCGAUAAGUAAUGUGAAUUGCAGAAUUCAGUGAAUCAUCGAAUCUUUGAACGCACAUUGCGCCCGCCAGUAUUCUGGCGGGCAUGCCUGUUCGAGCGUCAUUUCAACCAUCAAGCCCCCGGCUUGUGUUGGGGACCUGCGGCUGCCGCAGGCCCUGAAAAGCAGUGGCGGGCUCGCUGUCACACCGAGCGUAGUAGAUUUCAUCUCGCUCAGGGCGUGCUGCGGGUUCCGGCCGUUAAACCACCUUCAUAACCCAAGGUUGACCUCGGAUCAGGUAGGAAGACCCGCUGAACUUAAGCAUAUCAUAAGCGGAGGA